RNAcentral lists this transfer RNA (72 nucleotides) under Syrmaticus reevesii (Reeves's pheasant). RNAcentral describes it as "tRNA-Thr". It matches the Rfam family "tRNA". Rfam says of the family: Transfer RNA (tRNA) molecules are approximately 80 nucleotides in length. Lineage: Eukaryota; Metazoa; Chordata; Aves; Galliformes; Phasianidae. The record is from RNAcentral.
ACUCUAAUAGUUUAUGAAAAACAUUGGUCUUGUAAACCAAAAACUGAAGGCCCCCCACCCUUCUUAGAGUAG